GAUUUCUCUUUAUUUUUCUGCACUCUCAUCAGCAAAAAAAAUGUCCUAAGGGUUUCUUCAAGCUGGGUUUUCAUAAUUUUUGCACCAAGUGAGUUAANNNNNNNNNNNNNNNNNNNNNNNNNNNNNNNNNNNNNNNNNNNNNNNNNNNNNNNNNNNNNNNNNNNNNNNNNNNNNNNNNNNNNNNNNNNNNNNNNNNNUUUUUCUUGUAAUUUUUGUGUUUCUAAGACUUUUACAACUAGGUCCUAUUACUAAAUUCAUUAGUUUUUGAUUUUAUGAAUGAUAUUGAAAGUUGAUAUGAAUAUGUGCUGGAAGUUUAUGAGGAAAUAGGAUGAAAUUUAUGCUUUAAUUUAUUUAUGAGAUGAUUUUAUUAGGUAAUUCCAAUAGAAAUUGAUUUGUAGGACCUAAUUGUGAAAAAGUUUGGAAUUAAAGUUUAGUGCUGAAAUUAUGACUUCCAAAGGUUAUUAGGUAGUUUAAAGUGAUAUAAUAAAGUGUUGAUUGAGAAAAAUCAGCUCAAUUGAGAGGUUAAUUGAGCAGGGACGAAAUUAUCAUUGUUGAAAGCUUAAGGGAAAAAUGGUAAUUAACACCAUGCACUAAAACAGAUUUGGACAGCAGCAGUACUCUGACUUUUAAAAUUCACUAAAAAUUGUAGAGAUUGAAUUAGAGGAUGAAUAAAAUAUGAAAUUAAAUCUUAUUGAGUCUAGUUUCUUAUAAAAGAAACGGUGUAAGCAAUGGAAUUGUAAAUCAUGAGAUAUAAUAGAUUUUGUGAGACAAGGUCAGAAUGAAUUCAGGUUCCCCUAUUCUGACUUUGGAAAAUCAUUAAAAAUUUUAAAAAAAUGAUUAUGAGUUAUAAUUUAUAUGCUUAGAAUCCUUAAUGAGUCUAUUUUCUGAAGAAAUAAAGGGAAGCAUCAUCCUAAUUCUGUACAGUGAGAUAAUUAAUUUUUGGUGAAGAGGGGUCAGAACUGUCAUACAGUGAAACAGGGGAAACUUUAAAGAAUAAACUGUACUUAUUGGCUACACCAAAAAUUCUGAAAUUUUUAUGGUAAGAAUAUAUGUGAGUCUAGUUUUAGGGAAAAUUAUCGGAUCUUAAUUUGGAGUUCCGUAUCUUAAUAUAUAAAUAAUUUAGUGACUGUAACUCAGUGAGGCAGCUUUGAAUGCACUAUAAAUAAUAAUGGAAUUGUAGAGAAAGUUACAUAUGAACAUGAAAUGUAUUAGAUUAAUGAUUAAAUUUAUUUAUUUAGAUCCGGAAAAUUCAAAUACGAAGCAAGAUCGAGGAAAAGAAAAAGUUCGGGAUUAGUAGAUUUUUGUUUACGAACAAUUGUCGAGGUAAGUUCGUGUAACUUGAAUUAUAUUCAUAAAUGCUUGAAAUGUUUGUUAUUGAUGUGAAUAUGAUUUGGAUGUUUAUUGUAUGAUAACUGAUGAAGUAUUGAUAUUCUGGAUGAAAAGAGGAAAUAAAUCUCGGUUGAAUGAAAGGAAAGUUCGAUGGAUCUUUGAAAAAGAAUUGACGGUAAAAAGGAUCUAGCCCGGACGGGUGAUCCUAUCCUGAUAUAGCCCUCCCGAAGAAUAUGUGGAAAAUGGAUUUAGCCCGGACGGGUAAUCCGAAUUAGGGUCUGAAUUUAGCCUGGACUGGUAAUUCAGAUCCAAGCUCAUUAGAGUAAUUGUCGUUGCAGGGGAUUUAGCCUGGACUGGUAAUCCCGACAAUACUCUGUGAGUUUAUAUUACAGGGGAUUUAGCCUGAACUGGUAAUCCCGCUGUAAGGAUGAGGUUCGCGGGAGUGUGCUCUCUGAAAUGGAAAUGUGCACACAUGAAUAUGAAUUGACGGACCCGGAUUUGUACACUUAGGUGUACCCCUGAAUAUCCAGCGAAAUUCCAAGUAGUUCAACGGGAUAAAUAUGGAAAAAUAACAAGGAAAUGGAAAUCAUGGAAUUGAUGAGCUCAUGAAUCAUUUAUCUUUGUAAUGAAUUUGUAUGAGGUUGAGUUUGUAUGUGAUAGGUAUAUGUUUAUGUGAAUUGGAUGUGUGCUUGUGUUAUUAAAUGAUGGAUGUAUAAGUAUGGUAAGUAUAAUUCCUGUUGCAUGAACUUACUAAGCACAAAGUGCUUACCCUGUUUCUUUUUCCCCUGUUUGUAGAGUUAAGAGCUCGGAGGUCGGAUUUGGUCGGAGACACAUCACACUAUCAAUCUCGAGAUCUCGGUACAUAAAGGAACUUUAUUUUGGAAAUCAAUGGCAUGUAUAAGCUAGUAAAUUAGAUGUUAAUGUGAAAUGAAUGUACGGUUAGCCAUUGGUAUGGCUAACAAAUUUUGGUUUUGGUAUGUGAUGAAAUUAUCUUAUGAAUAUGAUAAAUCUAUCUUAAAAAAAAUUCAGUAAAAUCUGGUAAUGCCUCAUACUCUAUUUCAGUGACGAAUACGGGUAGGGGGUAUUACAUUCCAC
RNAcentral lists this long non-coding RNA (2424 nucleotides) under Gossypium raimondii (Peruvian cotton). RNAcentral's name for it is "long non-coding RNA (GRAI_LNC002350)". The record is from RNAcentral. Lineage: Eukaryota; Viridiplantae; Streptophyta; Magnoliopsida; Malvales; Malvaceae.